CUUAAACUUUUGAGUAUUUUUUGUGGGAGUGACUACAAUGAUAAACAAGAUUUUAGGGCUUUCAUUUCUCUUCAUCUGUGGCUAAAUGCUUUAUCAAAUUUAUAAAUAACAGCUAAUGCCACACAGAGACAUUUUUAAAGGAGUCAUAAAAUGGUUCUAUCUAGAAAUCAGGACGUUGUUCUCAUUUGCAUGGUCCCGCACACCUCAUCGUCGUGGUCAGAGAGAUCGGUUCAGUUCAGUCCAUUGAGUGAAUACGGACACAAGACCCAGCUGAUACAACAAUAAUGCGACUCCGUCAGAGAGUUCAUUUCUUCUUUCUUGGGAUGUGUGUUGGCUUGUCACUGAGUGGGUAUGUAUAAAUUAUAUUUAAAAUAUGUAGCUGAUUUACUCACACUUUUGGCAU
This 403-nucleotide long non-coding RNA is filed under the name Sinocyclocheilus grahami. RNAcentral describes it as "lncRNA (ENSSGRG00000032372.1)". The record is from RNAcentral. Lineage: Eukaryota; Metazoa; Chordata; Actinopteri; Cypriniformes; Cyprinidae.